ACUUAAAUAGCUUAAUAUGAGAGCAAGAUAUUGAAGAUAUCUCGGUGAUUUAAAAUCUUUAAGUA
RNAcentral lists this transfer RNA (65 nucleotides) under Dorcus koreanus. Its description in RNAcentral is "tRNA-Phe". Lineage: Eukaryota; Metazoa; Arthropoda; Insecta; Coleoptera; Lucanidae. The record is from RNAcentral.